GAUGAGGCCACUUUCAGCACUGGAGGACGGUACUCUUUGGAAGGAAGUAAAUGUGCCUGGAUAUAUAAAAAUGUGUAUGUAUAUAUACAUGUUAAGACAGCGGAUUGGUUCUGAUGCAGUGCCAACAGAAUGCAUGAUCUAAUUGUCCCAUUGUCCUCUGCCAAAAAAAAGCAGGAACGGGCUUUCCAGUGUUCAUUACGGAGUACUGAACAUAUAUGGUGUUAGAGUG
RNAcentral lists this long non-coding RNA (229 nucleotides) under Mustela putorius furo (domestic ferret). RNAcentral's name for it is "lncRNA (ENSMPUG00000030988.1)". Lineage: Eukaryota; Metazoa; Chordata; Mammalia; Carnivora; Mustelidae. The record is from RNAcentral.